Molecule: non-coding RNA, 63 nt
Organism: Xiphophorus maculatus (southern platyfish)
Lineage: Eukaryota; Metazoa; Chordata; Actinopteri; Cyprinodontiformes; Poeciliidae
Source: Rfam
UUUACUUAAUGAAGAGACUCCUGGAAACCAUUUUGUGUAGGAAGUUUCUGAUGCAGAUGUAAA